This is a long non-coding RNA of Thalassophryne amazonica, 827 nucleotides long. RefSeq lists it as uncharacterized. The transcript is spliced from 2 exons. Lineage: Eukaryota; Metazoa; Chordata; Actinopteri; Batrachoidiformes; Batrachoididae. The record is from RefSeq and is a predicted model, not a curated record.
GUUGUUCUAAACAGCUGCACCAGCUGUGCUCUGGAAAUAACCACCUGUGGUUUGAGCCGCUCUCGUAAUAAGCGUUGUCGCUCCCAUGCCGAGUUUACCGCUGUGACACGGACCGAGCUCAGCCCACAACCCACUGAGUCACGCUGCUUUUGAGCUUUCUUGUUUUAGGAAGCCUGUGAUUAUGAAUGAGUACUGUUGAGGGAAACAUUGAGGUGAUAUUUAUGUCUCAAACUCAGGAAAACUAGAUGCCAUAAUUCUGCUAAAAUGUCCCGUGUGACUGUGUGAAAUUAGUUUUUCUUAUGUAAUCAGAUUUUUCACAACUUGUGAUAGUGUUUUAUAUUCCAGUUCAGUUCAUGACGGACCAGUUUUAUGUUUGAGCCUAAUAUAUAUUUUAUCCAUUAUCUUACGACAAUCACUUUAGAAAAUGUACAAACUGAUUGGUCGUGUUUUUGUUGCAAUUAUCUUUUUCACAACUGUACAUUGUGCUUGUCAGGAGAAAUUCCAUCCUUCCGGCAAACCUUUGUAUCUCAUGAACCGUAAAACUCAAAACCAAAUUUUUGUGUACAUUAAUACUGGGAGGUCAAAGGUCUGCAUACCAAAAAAUCAUUUCUGACAUAAGUGCGUUUUUUUGUUGUUGUUGUGGGUUUUUUUGUAUUAUUAUUAUUAUUAUUUUUUGUGUGAAUUUUGUGUUUCAAGUAAGAAAUCUACCAGAAGCCCUGUAAUGUUCACAUUGCCCACUAGAAGGUGAAAAAAGCUGCUCAACUGUGUGGCAAGGUCUGGACUGUUCAUUCAUUUGAGAAGUUAACUUUUGGGGGAAAAUAAGAUUG